Molecule: ribosomal RNA, 425 nt
Filed under: uncultured bacterium
Lineage: Bacteria
Description: bacterial SSU rRNA
Rfam family: Bacterial small subunit ribosomal RNA
Source: RNAcentral
UGGGGAAUCUUGCGCAAUGGGCGAAAGCCUGACGCAGCGACGCCGCGUGGGGGAUGAAGCCCUUCGGGGGUGUAAAACCCCCUUUCGUACCCGGCAGCGAAUGGCCCAGCCAAAGGGGAGUUGACGGUACGGGUAGAAGAAGCCCCGGCUAACUACGUGCCAGCAGCCGCGGUAAAACGUAGGGGCCAGCGUUGCUCGGAAUUACUGGGCGUAAAGGGUCCGUAGGCGGUGUGGCAAGUCGGGAGUGAAAUCUCAUGGCUUAACUGUGAGACUGCUUCCGAAACUGCUGUGCUCGAGUGCGGGAGAGGCGAGUGGAAUUGCCGGUGUAGCGGUGAAAUUGCGUAGAUAUCGGCAGGAACACCCGUGGCGAAGGCGGCUCGCUGGACCGCACUGACGCUGAGGACGAAAAGCUAGGGGAGCAAACA